GAAAGCCUGACGGAGCAACRCCGCGUGAGGGAGGAAGGCYUGUGGGUUGUAAACCYCUUUUCUCAGGGAAGAAGWUCUGACGGUACCUGAGGAAUCAGCAUCGGCUAACUCCGUGCCAGCAGCCGCGGUAAGACGGAGGAUGCAAGCGUUAUCCGGAAUUAUUGGGCGUAAAGCGUYCGUAGGCGGUUCAKAAAGUCUGCUGUUAAAGCUCACAGCUCAACUGUGAAUCGGCAGUGGAAACUUCUGRRCUAGAGARUGGUAGGGGUARAGGGAAUUCCUAGUGUAGCGGUGAAAUGCGUAGAUAUUAGGAAGAACACCAGUGGCGAAG
This 328-nucleotide ribosomal RNA is filed under the name uncultured cyanobacterium. RNAcentral's name for it is "partial 16S ribosomal RNA". It matches the Rfam family "Bacterial small subunit ribosomal RNA", at positions 377 to 720 of the family's 1533-position model. Lineage: Bacteria; Bacillati; Cyanobacteriota. The record is from RNAcentral.